RNAcentral lists this ribosomal RNA (301 nucleotides) under uncultured bacterium. RNAcentral's name for it is "partial 16S ribosomal RNA". It matches the Rfam family "Bacterial small subunit ribosomal RNA", at positions 509 to 809 of the family's 1533-position model. The record is from RNAcentral.
CAGCAGCCGCGGUAAUACGUAGGUGGCAAGCGUUGUCCGGAAUUAUUGGGCGUAAAGGGCUCGCAGGCGGUUUCUUAAGUCUGAUGUGAAAGCCCCCGGCUCAACCGGGGAGGGUCAUUGGAAACUGGGAAACUUGAGUGCAGAAGAUGAGAGUGGAAUUCCACGUGUAGCGGUGAAAUGCGUAGAGAUGUGGAGGAACACCAGUGGCGAAGGCGACUCUCUGGUCUGUAACUGACGCUGAGGAGCGAAAGCGUGGGGAGCGAACAGGAUUAGAUACCCGUGUAGUCCCUGUCUCUUAUAA